Molecule: ribosomal RNA, 430 nt
Filed under: uncultured Bacteroidota bacterium
Lineage: Bacteria; Pseudomonadati; Bacteroidota
Description: bacterial SSU rRNA
Rfam family: Bacterial small subunit ribosomal RNA
Source: RNAcentral
AACGCGAAGAACCUUACCUGGGCUAGAAUGCAGAAUGACCGAUCCUGAAAGGGGUUUUUGUAGCAAUACACAUUUUGUAAGGUGCUGCAUGGCUGUCGUCAGCUCGUGCCGUGAGGUGUUGGGUUAAGUCCCGCAACGAGCGCAACCCCCAUCACUAGUUGCCAUCAGGUCAAGCUGGGAACUCUAGUGAAACUGCCGUCGUAAGACGCGAGGAAGGAGGGGAUGAUGUCAAGUCAUCAUGGCCUUUAUGCCCAGGGCUACACACGUGCUACAAUGGGAGAGACAAAGGGCAGCUACCUAGCGAUAGGACGCUAAUCCCAAAAACUCUUUCUCAGUUCAGAUUGCAGUCUGCAACUCGACUGCAUGAAGCUGGAAUCGCUAGUAAUCGUAUAUCAGCAAUGAUACGGUGAAUACGUUCCCGGGCCUUGUA